This 396-nucleotide ribosomal RNA is filed under the name uncultured bacterium. RNAcentral describes it as "partial 16S ribosomal RNA". It matches the Rfam family "Bacterial small subunit ribosomal RNA", at positions 360 to 773 of the family's 1533-position model. The record is from RNAcentral.
AAUAUUGCACAAUGGGGGAAACCCUGAUGCAGCGACGCCGCGUGAGCGAAGAAGGCCUUCGGGUCGUACAGCCUUGUCUUAAGGGAAGAAACGCACGGUACCUUAGGAGGAAGCCCCGGCUAACUACGUGCCAGGAUCCGCGGUAAUACGUAGGGGUCGAGCGUUGUCCGGAAUUACUGGGCGUAAAGGGUGCGUAGGCGGCCUGAUAAGUCAGAUGUGAAAUACCACGGCUUAACCGUGGGGGUGCAUUUGAAACUGUUGGGCUUGAGUGCAGGAGAGGAAAGCGGAAUUCCUAGUGUAGCGGUGAAAUGCGUAGAGAUUAGGAGGAACACCAGUGGCGAAGGCGGCUUUCUGGACUGUAACUGACGCUGAGGCACGAAAGCGUGGGUAGCGAAC